GAUGAACGCUGGCGGCGUGCCUAACACAUGCAAGUCGAGCGAUUUACUUCGGUAAAGAGCGGCGGACGGGUGAGUAACGCGUGGGUAACCUGCCCUGUACACACGGAUAACAUACCGAAAGGUAUGCUAAUACGAGAUAAUAUACUUUUAUCGCAUGGUAGAAGUAUCAAAGCUCCGGCGGUACAGGAUGGACCCGCGUCUGAUUAGCUAGUUGGUAAGGUAACAGCUUACCAAGGCGACGAUCAGUAGCCGACCUGAGAGGGUGAUCGGCCACAUUGGAACUGAGACACGGUCCAAACUCCUACGGGAGGCAGCAGUGGGGAAUAUUGCACAAUGGGCGAAAGCCUGAUGCAGCAACGCCGCGUGAGCGAUGAAGGCCUUCGGGUCGUAAAGCUCUGUCCUCAAGGAAGAUAAUGACGGUACUU
This 425-nucleotide ribosomal RNA is filed under the name uncultured bacterium. RNAcentral describes it as "bacterial SSU rRNA". It matches the Rfam family "Bacterial small subunit ribosomal RNA", at positions 28 to 480 of the family's 1533-position model. The record is from RNAcentral.